RNAcentral lists this ribosomal RNA (49 nucleotides) under Blastococcus fimeti. Its description in RNAcentral is "Blastococcus sp. DSM 44205 16S rRNA. Bacterial SSU". The record is from RNAcentral. Lineage: Bacteria; Bacillati; Actinomycetota; Actinomycetes; Geodermatophilales; Geodermatophilaceae.
CAUCUACGGAGAGUUUGAUCCUGGCUCAGGACGAACGCUGGCGGCGUGC